RNAcentral lists this long non-coding RNA (1277 nucleotides) under Homo sapiens (human). RNAcentral's name for it is "HSALNT0359979". The record is from RNAcentral. Lineage: Eukaryota; Metazoa; Chordata; Mammalia; Primates; Hominidae.
GGUCUCGAACUCCUGACCUUGUGCUCCGCCCACCUUGGCCUCCCAAAGUGCUGGGAUUACAGGUAUGACCCAUGAGCCACUACCCCUGGCCAACACCAUAGUUUUUAACCUUUAGAUAGGGACUCUACAGGAGCAGGUCUGGGGUGAGGGUAGCAGGAAAAGGAGGAGUGGGUGAAGUUUAUUCAUAUUAAUAAGCUAGAGUUGGUCACACCAAGGAAGGUGCCCAGAAAGCAGAAGGGUGGCAUGGCACCCGGUGUAGGAGGGUCAUCUGUCAGCUGGAUUGCUUCCUCACAUCCCAUAUCCAACAGAUUACUAAGUCCUGGGACCCUGCUUCCCAGAGCUCUCAUCUGACUCAUCCUGUCUUGUCCCAUGGCCAAGGCCAGCUUUGCAGAUGCAGAUGCUGUGGCUCAAAGGAUUAAUUAAUUUGCUUAAGAUAAUGCAACAUGAGAAAAGCAGAUCAGGACGGAAUUCCAGAACAAGGAUUUUGCUUGAAAUAACAUCACUACUAAUUGUCUCUCUGCACCUCCUGGCUCAUUUCUCUACUCCCACACCUUCCCUGCUGACCCUAGUCAAGGAGCUGUGAACAUACAAAUAGUGCCUGAUACACUAGGGCCUCGGCAUUGGCCAUGGGAGUGAGGGAGAAAAUCAUUUAAGAGGCUUUGUAGUCGAUUUCAACAAAGAAGGCAAUGCCAGUGAAGCAUCUUGCAGGAAUCCCUCCCUGACUGCUUCAGUCCACAGCGCUCUUACCUUUCUCUAUACACUUACAAUCUGUUUCAUUUACUUCCUAGCAGACCUUGCAGAAACCAUUAUUUCAUAUGAUACGUUUCCCCCAUAGAAUAUAAGCUCCUUAAGGGAAGAGAUUUUUGCUUGGUUUUAUAAUGCUGAAUUCCAAGUGCCUAGAAAGGGCCUGGCAGGUCGUAGGCACAAGAAGUAUUGGUUGGUUGAAUAUAUACUUCUUGCAACCCACAGAAACUGAUGUUGGUCUGGGCCAGGCCCUGCCCUGGCUUCCAGGGAUGCAGAAGUGAAUCGAAUAACUUCCUGCCCUCUGAACUUAUGGGGGAGACAUACAUACCUGCAUAUUCACAAGAGAUUUCAUCACAUGUAACCAAAGUAAAAAGGUGGCCACCAGAAGGGGGACUGGACCUGCUUGUUGGAAGGGUGCAAAUGGAAACUAGAGAGGUGAUUGUUCCAGACAUUCCCAGUGGGACAGGUGGCUGUGAGCCUGUGAUGAACUGAGAGACACCACUGAGUAAAAGUUAAGAGGACAGGCUCUGGAG